ACCAGUUGUUGAACCUUCUCUCUCCUGUUAGCAGUGGAGCUCCUUUGAGUACAGUUGUAUAUUGUGAUUCAUACACACACACACACAAACACACAAACACACACACCCGUGCACUCGCUCAGUGGGUCAGAUGAAUGCCACGCUUAUUCACAUUACUAAUUGCUGUCGCAAGAGCAAUUCAAUUGAGGCUCGAAAAUCCAUUUAAAUAAUAUUAAAAUGUUGUUAAUCAGUGCCACUCGCGCACACGGACACCCGAACGAUCUGCCACACUUUGCUGCUGUUGUUGCUUUAGUGGGGACGGUGACGGAGAGACCUUCUCGAGCAACUUGAAAACUUGUAUAUGUUUUUGUUGGGAAGCACAGAGACGCGGCGCAGAAACAGCUACACAGCGACAACGUCUUGCUAAAUGUUGAUGGAGCAAAAUCCGCGACGAACGUCAAAAAAUUGCAGAUAGGCACGGAUCGAUCGACCGAUCGCUCGCUCUCUCUCUAUCUCUCACUGGAAGCCAGCCAACGAGCGCGAGCGUAAAAGAGAGAGUGUGACACGAAGCCAGCAGCCUCAUCAUCUUCUGUGCCUCGCGCAAUAUUUUUUUUCUUUGUGCACUUUUGCUCCAGUGCAGACCAGUUCUCUUUCUGACGCGUAGUUACGCUCUUCAAUCAAGUCGAAGAAAACGCUCAAACUCUCUCUCUCUCGCGACUCACAGAAUGAGUGGAUUGAAUGAGUACAUAAGCUUUUGACUGGAAAGCCAGAGAGAGAGAGAGAGAGAAAAGAGAGCAAACCUACAGCUGAUCGAGCAGCACUGUUAUACGAAGCUCAAACUGGUUUUCGCUGAACGAGACGUUGGAAUUCAAAUUGUUUCGAUGAUGCUAAGAAGUAGAACAGCUUCUGGAAAGGCCAAGCUUUGGAGUGCGAUCGUGCGAUAGUAUCCAUACCCUUACAGCUAUUGGCCCUUAGCGAUUUUUCUUUAUCUAAAAAAUCGAUGCAAAAGUUGAAUAACCCACAAAGAAAACCCCUUUCAAUAAUGUUCUUCAUAUAAUUGCAAAUUUAUUUCUAUAAUAUAUAUCU
Long non-coding RNA from Drosophila obscura, 1065 nucleotides. RefSeq lists it as uncharacterized. The transcript has 3 exons. The record is from RefSeq and is a predicted model, not a curated record. NCBI's taxonomy places the organism in Eukaryota, Metazoa, Arthropoda, Insecta, Diptera, Drosophilidae.